Molecule: ribosomal RNA, 690 nt
Filed under: uncultured Verrucomicrobiota bacterium
Lineage: Bacteria; Pseudomonadati; Verrucomicrobiota
Description: bacterial SSU rRNA
Rfam family: Bacterial small subunit ribosomal RNA
Source: RNAcentral
AUUCUUUAGAGCUUGCUUUAAAGGGUCUUAGUGGCGAACGGGUGAGUAACACGUGAGUUACCUGCCCCGAAGUGGGAGAUAGCCCGGAGAAAUUCGGAUUAAUACCCCAUGUGAUCGAAAGAUUAAAGGCGGCGCAAGCUGUCGCUUCGGGAUGGGCUCGCGGCCUAUCAGCUAGUUGGCGGGGUAACGGCCCACCAAGGCGAUGACGGGUAGCUGAUCUGAGAGGAUGAUCAGUCACGCUGGAACUGAGACACGGUCCAGACACCUACGGGUGGCAGCAGUCGAGAAUCAUUCGCAAUGGGCGAAAGCCUGACGGUGCGACGCCGCGUGGAGGAUGAAGGCCCUAGGGUCGUAAACUCCUGUCAUCAGGGAGUAAAGACUCGUGUGGUAACUAACACGGGUCCUGAUAGUACCUGAAGAGGAAGGGACGGCAAACUUCGUGCCAGCAGCCGCGGUAAUACGAAGGUCCCAAGCGUUGUUCGGAUUUACUGGGCGCAAAGAGUCUGUAGGCGGCGGGGUAAGUCAGAUGUGAAAUCCCGGGGCUCAACCCCGGAACUGCAUCCGAUACUGCCUUGCUAGAGUAUUGGAGGGGAGUCUGGAAUUCUCGGUGUAGCAGUGAAAUGCGUAGAUAUCGAGAGGAACACUAGUGGCGAAGGCGAGACUCUGGACAAUUACUGACGCUGAGAGACG